AUUGAACGCUGGCGGCAUGCCUUACACAUGCAAGUCGAACGGCAGCACGGGUGCUUGCACCUGGUGGCGAGUGGCGAACGGGUGAGUAAUACAUCGGAACAUGUCCUGUAGUGGGGGAUAGCCCGGCGAAAGCCGGAUUAAUACCGCAUACGAUCUACGGAUGAAAGCGGGGGACCUUCGGGCCUCGCGCUAUAGGGUUGGCCGAUGGCUGAUUAGCUAGUUGGUGGGGUAAAGGCCUACCAAGGCGACGAUCAGUAGCCUGUCUGAGAGGACGACCAGCCACACUGGGACUGUGACACGGCCCAGACUCCUGCGGGAGGCAGCAGUGGGGACUUUUGGACAAUGGGCGAAAGCCUGAUCCAUCAGUGCCGCGUGUGUGAAGACGGCCUUCCGGUUGUAAAGCACUUUUGUCCGGAAAGAAAUCCUUGGCCCUAAUACGGUCGGGGGAUGACGGUACCGGAAGAAUAAGCACCGGCUAACUACGUG
RNAcentral lists this ribosomal RNA (486 nucleotides) under uncultured bacterium. RNAcentral describes it as "partial 16S ribosomal RNA". It matches the Rfam family "Bacterial small subunit ribosomal RNA", at positions 30 to 507 of the family's 1533-position model. The record is from RNAcentral.